Molecule: ribosomal RNA, 76 nt
Filed under: Anoxybacteroides rupiense
Lineage: Bacteria; Bacillati; Bacillota; Bacilli; Caryophanales; Anoxybacillaceae
Description: partial 16S ribosomal RNA
Rfam family: Bacterial small subunit ribosomal RNA
Source: RNAcentral
CUUUUGGAGAGUUUGAUCCUGGCUCAGGACGAACGCUGGCGGCGUGCCUAAUACAUGCAAGUCGAGCGGACCGAAU